This 274-nucleotide ribosomal RNA is filed under the name uncultured bacterium. Its description in RNAcentral is "partial 16S ribosomal RNA". It matches the Rfam family "Bacterial small subunit ribosomal RNA", at positions 523 to 796 of the family's 1533-position model. The record is from RNAcentral.
AUACGGAGGGUGCAAGCGUUAUCCGGAAUCAUUGGGUUUAAAGGGUCCGCAGGCGGAUUAAUAAGUCAGUGGUGAAAUCCUCUCGCUCAACGAGAGAACUGCCGUUGAAACUGUUAGUCUUGAAUUCGGUCGAAGUAGGCGGAAUGUGUCAUGUAGCGGUGAAAUGCAUAGAUAUGACACAGAACACCGAUAGCGAAGGCAGCUUACUAGACCUGGAUUGACGCUCAUGGACGAAAGCGUGGGGAGCGAACAGGAUUAGAAACCCCAGUAGUCC